AAUCGAUUAUCUGACAUAAGUUAAUCGAUUAUCUUAGUAUCCGUUGCCUUUCAACGUCUAUAUUUUUGAAAGGUUAAUCGAAUAUCGUCCUGCGAUAAUCGAUUAUCGUUGCAGAUUUUUGAUAAAUUAUUUAAUCAUUUAGCAACGGAUACAAGAGUUUUUGGGGCUAUAAAUACACCCCAAAAACUCUCAUUUGACACACAACAAUCUGAGCAAACAUCAUAUACAAGAUUCAAUCAUUUAGCAACGGAUACAAGGGAUUUUGAGGCUAUAAAUACACCCCAAAACCCCUCAUUUGACACACAACAAUAUGAGCAAACAUCAUAUACAAGCUUCCAAAUAUUCUACAUUCAUUUCAUAUUUUUAAUUGCUUUUGAGAAGCCAUUUCUUGAAUUUAUUGUUGUNN
This 406-nucleotide long non-coding RNA is filed under the name Nicotiana benthamiana. RNAcentral describes it as "long non-coding RNA (NBEN_LNC025459)". Lineage: Eukaryota; Viridiplantae; Streptophyta; Magnoliopsida; Solanales; Solanaceae. The record is from RNAcentral.